RNAcentral lists this ribosomal RNA (491 nucleotides) under uncultured bacterium. RNAcentral describes it as "bacterial SSU rRNA". It matches the Rfam family "Bacterial small subunit ribosomal RNA", at positions 37 to 507 of the family's 1533-position model. The record is from RNAcentral.
UGGCGGCGUGCUUAACACAUGCAAGUCGAACGAGGAUUUUUAUUCGGUAGAAUCCGAGUGGCAAACGGGUGAGUAACGCGUAGGCAACCUGCCUUUCUGAUGGGGACAACAGUUCGAAAGGACUGCUAAUACCGAAUGACGUAUAUUUCUCGCAUGAGAGACAUACCAAAGAUGGCCUCUGAAUAUGCUAUCACAGAAAGAUGGGCCUGCGUCUGAUUAGCUGGUUGGUGGGGUAACGGCCUACCAAGGCGACGAUCAGUAGCCGGUCUGAGAGGAUGAACGGCCACAUUGGGACUGAGACACGGCCCAGACUCCUACGGGAGGCAGCAGUGGGGAAUCUUCCACAAUGGACGAAAGUCUGAUGGAGCAACGCCGCGUGAGUGAAGAAGGUUUUCGAAUCGUAAAGCUCUGUUGUCAGGGACGAAUGUUGAGACCGAGAAUAUUGGUUUCAAAUGACGGUACCUGACGAGGAAGCCACGGCUAACUACGUG